RNAcentral lists this ribosomal RNA (301 nucleotides) under uncultured Fervidobacterium sp. Its description in RNAcentral is "partial 16S ribosomal RNA". It matches the Rfam family "Bacterial small subunit ribosomal RNA", at positions 494 to 795 of the family's 1533-position model. The record is from RNAcentral. Lineage: Bacteria; Thermotogati; Thermotogota; Thermotogae; Thermotogales; Fervidobacteriaceae.
CGUCACUGGUGGGCCCGCCGGCGGGGGAAACCGGAGGGGGCUAGCCUUGCUCGGAAUUACUGGGCGGUAAGGGAACGUAGGCGGCUUGUUAAGGCAGGGGUGAAAUCCGGGAGCUCAACGCCAGAACGGCCUUUGAUACUGGCGAGCUUGAGUUCGGGAGAGGUGAGUGGAACUGCGAGUGUAGAGGUGAAAUUCGUAGAUAUUCGCAAGAACACCAGUGGCGAAGGCGGCUCACUGGCCCGAUACUGACGCUGAGGUGCGAAAGCGUGGGGAGCAAACAGGAUUAGAUACCCGGGUAGUC